ACCCUUAGUCGACGGAGGGAUAGACGGACGAAUUCCGUCUAAUACCGCAUAACACCUUUAGGAGACAUCUUCUUGGGGGUCAAAGGAGGCGACUCCGGCAUAGGAUGGCCAUGCGUCGCAUUAGCUAGUCGGCGGGGUAACGGCCCACCGAGGCGACGAUGCGUAGGGGUUCUGAGAGGAAGGUCCCCCACACUGGUACUGAGACACGGACCAGACUCCUACGGAAGGCAGCAG
This 234-nucleotide ribosomal RNA is filed under the name uncultured bacterium. RNAcentral describes it as "partial 16S ribosomal RNA". It matches the Rfam family "Bacterial small subunit ribosomal RNA", at positions 124 to 354 of the family's 1533-position model. The record is from RNAcentral.